This 301-nucleotide ribosomal RNA is filed under the name uncultured bacterium. RNAcentral describes it as "partial 16S ribosomal RNA". It matches the Rfam family "Bacterial small subunit ribosomal RNA", at positions 509 to 807 of the family's 1533-position model. The record is from RNAcentral.
CAGCCGCCACGGUAAUACGAAGGGUGCAAGCGUUAAUCGGAAUUACUGGGCGUAAAGCGUGCGUAGGCGGUGAGUUAAGUCUGCUGUGAAAUCCCCGGGCUCAACCUGGGAAUGGCAGUGGAUACUGGCUCGCUAGAGUGUGUCAGAGGAUGGUGGAAUUCCCGGUGUAGCGGUGAAAUGCGUAGAGAUCGGGAGGAACAUUAGUGGCGAAGGCGGCCAUCUGGGACAACACUGACGCUGAGGCACGAAAGCGUGGGGAGCAAACAGGAUUAGAUACCCCAGUAGUCCCUGUCUCUUAUAC